CCGGCGCACGGGUGAGUAACACGUAUGCAAUCCACCUGUAACAGGGGGAUAACCCGGAGAAAUCCGGACUAAUACCCCAUAAUAUGGGCGCUCCGCAUGGAGAGUUCAUUAAAGAGAGCAAUUUUGGUUACAGACGAGCAUGCGCUCCAUUAGCCAGUUGGCGGGGUAACGGCCCACCUAGUCAACGAUGGAUAGGGGUUCUGAGAGGAAGGUCCCCCACAUUGGAACUGAGACACGGUCCAA
This 243-nucleotide ribosomal RNA is filed under the name uncultured bacterium. Its description in RNAcentral is "partial 16S ribosomal RNA". It matches the Rfam family "Bacterial small subunit ribosomal RNA", at positions 95 to 334 of the family's 1533-position model. The record is from RNAcentral.